CUCACCAAGCCGACGAUCAGUAGCCGACCUGAGAGGGUGACCGGCCACAUUGGGACUGAGACACGGCCCAAACUCCUACGGGAGGCAGCAGUGGGGAAUAUUGCACAAUGGGGGAAACCCUGAUGCAGCGACGCCGCGUGAGCGAUGAAGUAUUUCGGUAUGUAAAGGUCUAUCAGCAAGGAAGAAGAAAGACGGUACUUGACUAAGAAGCACCGGCUAAAUAC
RNAcentral lists this ribosomal RNA (224 nucleotides) under uncultured bacterium. Its description in RNAcentral is "partial 16S ribosomal RNA". It matches the Rfam family "Bacterial small subunit ribosomal RNA", at positions 264 to 504 of the family's 1533-position model. The record is from RNAcentral.